MicroRNA precursor from Oryza sativa Japonica Group (Japanese rice), 275 nucleotides. It matches the Rfam family "MIR821 microRNA precursor family". The record is from Rfam. NCBI's taxonomy places the organism in Eukaryota, Viridiplantae, Streptophyta, Magnoliopsida, Poales, Poaceae.
GAUAUCAAAUGAAAAAGUCAUCAACAACAAAGUUGAAUAACUCAUCAAGAUCUAAAACUUUUAUUUUGGUCAUUUCUUCAUACGACAAAGUGAUAGUAACAUUAUUCACAAAAUUGAUAUAUCUCUUAUCUAGUUUUAUAAACUAUAACACAUAUAUGUAAAAUUUGUGAAUAAUAUUACUAACAUUUCGUCAGAUGAAGAAAUAACAAAAAUAAAAGUUUUAGAUCUUGAUGAGUUAUUCAACUUUGUUGUUGAUGACUUUUUCAAUUGAAAUC